CACCGCGGUAAUUCCAGCUCCAAUAGCGUAUAUUAGUGUUGUUGCGGUUAAAAAGCUCGUAGUUGAAUUUCGGGAUUGGGAUAUAUCGGUCGUGCCUUUAGGGGCAUGAAUCGGUGUGUGGCCAAUUCUCACCUUCUGGUGAAUUGGGAUGCUCUCGGGUGUUUCAAUGAACUAGGACUUUUACUUUGAAAAAAUUAGAGUGUUUAAAGCGGGCAUUUUUGCUUGAAUACGUUAGCAUGGAAUAAUAAAAUAGGACGAUGGUUCUAUUUUGUUGGUUUUAGGACCACGUAAUGAUUAAUAGGGAUAGUUGGGGGCAUUAGUAUUCAAUUGUCAGAGGUGAAAUUCUUGGAUUUAUUGAGGACUAACUACUGCGAAAGCAUUUGCCAAGGAUGUUUUCAUUAAUCAAGAACGAAAGUUAGGGGAUCAAAGACGAUUUAUGUACGUCGUAGUCUUAACCAUAAACUAUGCCGACUAGGAAUCAGACAAAGUUAAUUUUUUAACGACUUGUUUGGUACCUUACG
This 521-nucleotide unclassified non-coding RNA is filed under the name uncultured Glomeromycotina. RNAcentral describes it as "SSU rRNA". It matches the Rfam family "Eukaryotic small subunit ribosomal RNA", at positions 571 to 1092 of the family's 1831-position model. The record is from RNAcentral. Lineage: Eukaryota; Fungi; Glomeromycota.